Molecule: non-coding RNA, 203 nt
Organism: Arachis ipaensis
Lineage: Eukaryota; Viridiplantae; Streptophyta; Magnoliopsida; Fabales; Fabaceae
Source: RefSeq, a predicted model, not a curated record
UUUUCAUACAAAAUAAAUAUAAAUUUAAUACAAAUUUUUAUCUAAUUUUAUAUUGUUCAACCAUACUAAAUUUUACACAAUUUUAUCUAAUUUUAAACAAAGUGAUCGACUUCACUGUUGCCCAUGUCAUUCUCUGUAGGAAGUCCCACAGCAGUACCAUGAGCCCUCACCAAUCUCCACCUUUCAGGUGCACCCUACAACAA